This 368-nucleotide long non-coding RNA is filed under the name Brassica napus (rape). RNAcentral's name for it is "long non-coding RNA (BNAP_LNC007182)". The record is from RNAcentral. Lineage: Eukaryota; Viridiplantae; Streptophyta; Magnoliopsida; Brassicales; Brassicaceae.
CCGGCAUUGGUUAAGGCCACGGUUAGAGAUUGGACCGAUGGCGAAGCUAUGGAGAGGAUAUUAAUGGGACUUAUCAACGAGAUUAUGGAGAUGGAGAAGAUGGUGAGCUCUGAUCAUCGCAAGAUAUCUGUUGGGAUUGUUCAUGAACCUUUGUUGCCUAUUUCUCUUAGAUGGUGAGCUCUGAUCAUUGCAAGAUAUCGGUUGGGAUUGUUCACGAACCUUUGUUGCCUCUUUCUCUUCCGAUUCCUCUACAUCUCGUCAAGUGACUGAUGAAGAGAACACAGAAUCGAAGAUUUUUUUUUUGUUUUAAAAUAUAAUAAUAUUCUUAAUGUAAUCGAGAAAAAUGUAUAAGAUAUAUACACCUAAAG